CCUCACUCUGGCGGCGUGCUUAACACCUGCAAGUCGCACGGAAAGGCCCUGCUUUUGUGGGGUGCUCGAGUGGCGAACGGGUGAGUAACACGUGAGUAACCUGCCCUUGACUUUGGGAUAACUUCAGGAAACUGGGGCUAAUACCGGAUAGGAGCUCCUGCUGCAUGGUGGGGGUUGGAAAGUUUCGGCGGUUGGGGAUGGACUCGCGGCUUAUCAGCUUGUUGGUGGGGUAGUGGCUUACCAAGGCUUUGACGGGUAGCCGGCCUGAGAGGGUGACCGGCCACAUUGGGACUGAGAUACGGCCCAGACUCCUACGGGAGGCAGCAGUGGGGAAUAUUGCACAAUGGGCGGAAGCCUGAUGCAGCAACGCCGCGUGCGGGAUGACGGCCUUCGGGUUGUAAACCGCUUUCGCCUGUGACGAAGCGUGAGUGACGGUAAUGGGUAAAGAAGCACCGGCUAACUACGUG
This 467-nucleotide ribosomal RNA is filed under the name uncultured bacterium. RNAcentral describes it as "partial 16S ribosomal RNA". It matches the Rfam family "Bacterial small subunit ribosomal RNA", at positions 33 to 507 of the family's 1533-position model. The record is from RNAcentral.